This 200-nucleotide ribosomal RNA is filed under the name uncultured bacterium. RNAcentral describes it as "partial 16S ribosomal RNA". It matches the Rfam family "Bacterial small subunit ribosomal RNA", at positions 8 to 205 of the family's 1533-position model. The record is from RNAcentral.
AGAGUUUGAUCCUGGCUCAGAACGAACGCUGGCGGCGUGCCUAACACAUGCAAGUCGAACGGGAUUGAGGGCUUGCUCCUCAAUUUAGUGGCGCACGGGUGAGUAACGCGUAGAUAAUCUGCCUGACGAUCUGGGAUAACACUUCGAAAGGGGUGCUAAUACCGGAUAAGCCCAUGGGGUCUUUGGAUCUUGCGGGAAAA